GCCCGGAUAGCUCAGUCGGUAGAGCAGAGGAUUGAAAAUCCUCGUGUCGGUGGUUCGAUUCCGCCUC
Molecule: transfer RNA, 67 nt
Filed under: Vibrio hangzhouensis
Lineage: Bacteria; Pseudomonadati; Pseudomonadota; Gammaproteobacteria; Vibrionales; Vibrionaceae
Description: tRNA_Phe_GAA
Rfam family: tRNA
About the family: Transfer RNA (tRNA) molecules are approximately 80 nucleotides in length. Their secondary structure includes four short double-helical elements and three loops (D, anti-codon, and T loops).
Source: RNAcentral